AACGAACGCUGGCGGCAUGCCUAACACAUGCAAGUCGAACGAGAUCUUCGGGUCUAGGGGCGCACGGGUGCGUCACGCGUGGGAAUCUGCCCGUUGGUUCGGAAUAACAGUUGGGAACGACUGCUAAUACCAGAUGAUGACGAAAGUCCAAAGAUUUAUCGCCAGAGGAUGAGCCCGCGUAGGAUUAGCUGGUUGGUGAGGUAAUGGCUCACCAAGUCGAUGAUCUUUAACUGGUUUGAGAGGAUGAUCAGUCAGACUGGAACUGAGAAACGGUCCAGACUCCUACGGGAGGCAGCAGUUAGGAAUAUUCCACAAUGGGCGAAAGCCUGAUGGAGCAACGCCGCGUGGAGGAUGAAGGCCCUCAGGUCGUAAACUUCUUUUCUAUGCGAAGAAUAUGACGGUAACAUAGGAAUAAGGGUCUGCUAACUACGUGCCAGCAGCCGCAGUAA
Molecule: ribosomal RNA, 449 nt
Filed under: uncultured bacterium
Lineage: Bacteria
Description: partial 16S ribosomal RNA
Rfam family: Bacterial small subunit ribosomal RNA
Source: RNAcentral